CUCCUUCGUGAAGAACACCAAAUCUGACAACAGAAAAUAAUAAAAUACCUCACAGGAGAAAGACUCUACUUUUAACAUUUAUGACAGUUCUCUGAAACUUCAACCUUGAUCAUGAAGAGAGAUGCUCCAACAUACAAAUCAGGUAUCCU
This is a non-coding RNA of Macaca mulatta (Rhesus monkey), 149 nucleotides long. The record is from RefSeq and is a predicted model, not a curated record. NCBI's taxonomy places the organism in Eukaryota, Metazoa, Chordata, Mammalia, Primates, Cercopithecidae.